This 524-nucleotide ribosomal RNA is filed under the name uncultured Arcobacter sp. RNAcentral describes it as "bacterial SSU rRNA". It matches the Rfam family "Bacterial small subunit ribosomal RNA", at positions 56 to 590 of the family's 1533-position model. The record is from RNAcentral. Lineage: Bacteria; Pseudomonadati; Campylobacterota; Epsilonproteobacteria; Campylobacterales; Arcobacteraceae.
UGCAAGUCGAACGAGAACGGACUUAAGCUUGCUUAAGUUGUCAGCUAAGUGGCGCACGGGUGAGUAAUGUAUAGUUAACCUGCCCUCGAGAAAGGAAUAACAGAUGGAAACGUCUGCUAAUGCCCUAUAUGCCCAUAAUACAUAAGUAUGCUGGGGAAAUGCUUUAGUGCUCGAGGAUGGGACUGUAUGGUAUCAGAUAGUUGGUGAGGUAAUGGCUCACCAAGUCAAUGACGCCUAACUGGUUUGAGAGGAUGAUCAGUCACACUGGAACUGAGACACGGUCCAGACUCCUACGGGAGGCAGCAGUGGGGGAUAUUGCACAAUGGAGGAAACUCUGAUGCAGCAACGCCGCGUGGAGGAUGACACUUUUCGGAGCGUAAACUCCUUUUAUAUAGGAAGAUAAUGACGGUACUAUAUGAAUAAGCACCGGCUAACUCCGUGCCAGCAGCCGCGGUAAUACGGAGGGUGCAAGCGUUACUCGGAAUCACUGGGCGUAAAGAGCGUGUAGGCGGGUUAUUAAGUCA